GGAUGCGAUCAUACCAGCACUAAAGCACCGGAUCCCAUCGGAACUCCGAAGUUAAGCGUGCUUGGGUGAGAGUAGUAUUAGGUUGGGUGACCUCCUGGGAAGUCCUCGUGUUGCAUCCCUCC
RNAcentral lists this ribosomal RNA (122 nucleotides) under Oryza rufipogon (brownbeard rice). The record is from RNAcentral. Lineage: Eukaryota; Viridiplantae; Streptophyta; Magnoliopsida; Poales; Poaceae.